RNAcentral lists this ribosomal RNA (618 nucleotides) under Triticum aestivum (bread wheat). RNAcentral's name for it is "partial small subunit ribosomal RNA". Lineage: Eukaryota; Viridiplantae; Streptophyta; Magnoliopsida; Poales; Poaceae. The record is from RNAcentral.
AUGGAGGACCUACCGGAGGCUCUGCUGACUGAGAUUCUCAAGAGGAUAACCAGGAAUGAUCUCAAUUCUCUUUCCCUCGUGUCAAAGCAGCUCUACAAGAUAGAGGGGAAUCAAAGGGGUGCUAUCCGUGUUGGUUCCCAUCUUUGCAUUGCUACAGAAGCACUGACAUCAUUGUGCGCCCGGUUCCCAAAUCUGCAGAAAGUGGAAAUCGAUUACUCUGGUUGGAUACCUGGACAUGGAGAUCAGUUGGACAACAAAGGCCUUUCUGUGUUUUCAUCUCUCUGUUCCUCACUGGUUGACCUCACCUUAAGCUUCUGCUCAUGCAUUGAUGACUCUGGGCUUGCUUGUUUAGCGAAUUGCAAGAAAUUGGUGUCUCUCGGGCUCAACUCCACACCACAAAUAACGCCAGUUGGGCUUUUCUCGGUUGCAGUUGGUUGCACAAGUCUAUCUGCUCUCCACCUUAUUGGUUGUGAGAAAAUUGACAGUGUAGAGUGGCUGGAAUACCUUGGUAGGGAUGGACCAUUGGAAGAGCUUGUGGUGAAGAAUUGCAAAGGUAUCAAUCAUCAUGACUUCCUAAAGUUUGGUUCAGGAUGGAUGAAGCUCCAGAAGUUUGAGUUU